UCAUGGCUCUCUUUCUCACUGCUUGGAGUCUUAAGUAGUGGGAUUUUAGUCCAUUAUAUCUAAGCUGACUUAUUUUCACGCAGGGCACCAUGGGGAUAGACUGGCUGUCCGUUAGUGCCUUCUGAUUUUUGUGAAGUCAAAUAAUU
This is a small nucleolar RNA of Bison bison bison, 146 nucleotides long. Lineage: Eukaryota; Metazoa; Chordata; Mammalia; Artiodactyla; Bovidae. The record is from Ensembl.